RNAcentral lists this ribosomal RNA (292 nucleotides) under uncultured Acidobacteriota bacterium. RNAcentral's name for it is "uncultured Acidobacteria bacterium partial 16S ribosomal RNA". The record is from RNAcentral. Lineage: Bacteria; Pseudomonadati; Acidobacteriota.
GGACUACCAGGGUAUCUAAUCCUGUUUGCUACCCACGCUUUCGUGUCUCAGCGUCAGUUACGGUCCAGAGAGCCGUCUGCACCACCGGUGUUCCUCCUGAUAUCUACGCAUUUCACCGCUACACCAGGAAUUCCACUCUCCUCUCCCGCACUCUAGCCCUUCAGUAUUCGGCGCACCCUCCCAGUUGAGCCGGGAGAUUUCACACCAAACUUAAAAGGCCGCCUACACACCCUUUACGCCCAGUAACUCCGAACAACGCUUGCUGCCUACGUAUUACCGCGGCUGCUGGCAC